RNAcentral lists this ribosomal RNA (868 nucleotides) under uncultured archaeon. Its description in RNAcentral is "bacterial SSU rRNA". It matches the Rfam family "Archaeal small subunit ribosomal RNA", at positions 1 to 878 of the family's 1478-position model. The record is from RNAcentral.
CUCCGGUGAUCCGNNCCGGACCCGACUGCUAUCAGAGUGGGACUAAGCCAUGCGAGUCAACGUAGCAAUACGUGGCAUACGGCUCAGUAACACGUAGUCAACAUGCCCAGGGGACGAGGAUAACCUCGGGAAACUGAGGAUAAACCUCGAUAGGCCAUGAUUUCUGGAAUGAUUCUUGGCUCAAACCUAUAUGGCCCCUGGAUUGGACUGCGGCCGAUCAGGCUGUUGGUGAGGUAAUGGCCCACCAAACCUAUUACCGGUACGGGCUCUGAGAGGAGGAGCCCGGAGAUGGGCACUGAGACAAGGGCCCAGGCCCUAUGGGGCGCAGCAGGCGCGAAACCUCUGCAAUAGGCGAAAGCUUGACAGGGUUACUCUGAGUGAUUUCCGCUAAGGGAAUCUUUUGGCACCUCUAAAAAUGGUGCAGAAUAAGGGGUGGGCAAGUCUGGUGUCAGCCGCCGCGGUAAUACCAGCACCCCGAGUGGUCGGGACGAUUAUUGGGCCUAAAGCAUCCGUAGCCGGUCCUGCAAGUCUUCCGUUAAAUCCAGCUGCUCAACAGAUGGGCUGCGGGAGAUACUACAGGGCUAGGAGGCGGGAGAGGCAAGCGGUACUUUAUGGGUAGGGGUAAAAUCCGCUGAUCCAUAGAAGACCACCAGUGGCGAAGGCGGCUUGCCAGAACGCGCUCGACGGUGAGGGAUGAAAGCUGGGGGAGCAAACCGGAUUAGAUACCCGGGUAGUCCCAGCUGUAAACGAUGCAGACUCGGUGAUGGGUUGGCCUCGCGCCUGCCCAGUGCCGCAGGGAAGCCGUUAAGUCUGCCGCCUGGGGAGUACGGUCGCAAGACUGAAACUUAAAGGAAUUGGCGGGGGAGCA